Molecule: ribosomal RNA, 267 nt
Filed under: Triticum aestivum (bread wheat)
Lineage: Eukaryota; Viridiplantae; Streptophyta; Magnoliopsida; Poales; Poaceae
Description: partial small subunit ribosomal RNA
Source: RNAcentral
AUGUGGGCUGCUAAAGCACUAAAAUUUGGAUACAGAUGGGUCAUGGGUGAUGGAAAAAAGAUCAGAUUCUGGGAGGAUAUAUGGUUUGGGACCUCCCCUCUCGUGCAAUUCUGGCCACUCUACUCCAUCUGCCACCAAUAAUGUAUCACUGUAGCUGAAGUCUGGGACAACAAUGAAAUUAAAUUGACUUUUAGAAGAAUAUUCACUGCAUCCAUGAUGGAGCAGUGGUACUGCCUUGAACAGAUCAUUGAAAGUACUCAUUUCUAG